This 465-nucleotide ribosomal RNA is filed under the name uncultured Chlamydiales bacterium. RNAcentral's name for it is "bacterial SSU rRNA". It matches the Rfam family "Bacterial small subunit ribosomal RNA", at positions 338 to 795 of the family's 1533-position model. Lineage: Bacteria; Pseudomonadati; Chlamydiota; Chlamydiia; Chlamydiales. The record is from RNAcentral.
CCUACGGGUGGCUGCAGUCGAGAAUCUUUUGCAAUGGGCGAAAGCCUGACAAAGCGACGCCGUGUGAAUGAUGAAGGCCUUCGGGUUGUAAAGUUCUUUUGCCAGCGAGCAAGAAAGAGAAGCGAAUAACUUCUCAAUUUGAGAGUAGCUGGAGAAUAAGCACCGGCAAACUCCGUGCCAGCAGCCGCGGUAAUACGGAGGGUGCAAGCAUUAAUCGGAAUUAUUGGGCGUAAAGGGCGCGUAGGUGGAUUAGAAAGUCAUUUGUGAAAUUCCGGAGCUUAACUCCGGAGCUGCAAGUGAAACUUCUAGUCUAGAGGAUGGUCGGAGGAAACGGAAUUCCACGUGUAGCGGUGAAAUGCGUAGAUAUGUGGAAGAACACCGGUGGCGAAAGCGGUUUCCUAGAUUAUUCCUGACACUGAUGCGCGAGAGCGUGGGGAGCAAACAGGAUUAGAUACCCGUGUAGUC